This 546-nucleotide ribosomal RNA is filed under the name Aureobasidium proteae. RNAcentral describes it as "eukaryotic LSU rRNA". It matches the Rfam family "Eukaryotic large subunit ribosomal RNA", at positions 68 to 629 of the family's 3401-position model. Lineage: Eukaryota; Fungi; Ascomycota; Dothideomycetes; Dothideales; Saccotheciaceae. The record is from RNAcentral.
ACAGGGAUUGCCCUAGUAACGGCGAGUGAAGCGGCAACAGCUCAAAUUUGAAAGCUAGCCUUCGGGUUCGCAUUGUAAUUUGUAGAGGAUGAUUUGGGGAAGCCGCCUGUCUAAGUUCCUUGGAACAGGACGUCAUAGAGGGUGAGAAUCCCGUAUGUGACAGGAAAUGGCACCCUAUGUAAAUCUCCUUCGACGAGUCGAGUUGUUUGGGAAUGCAGCUCUAAAUGGGAGGUAAAUUUCUUCUAAAGCUAAAUAUUGGCGAGAGACCGAUAGCGCACAAGUAGAGUGAUCGAAAGAUGAAAAGCACUUUGGAAAGAGAGUUAAAAAGCACGUGAAAUUGUUGAAAGGGAAGCGCUUGCAAUCAGACUUGUUUAAACUGUUCGGCCGGUCUUCUGACCGGUUUACUCAGUUUGGACAGGCCAGCAUCAGUUUCGGCGGCCGGAUAAAGGCUCUGGGAAUGUGGCCUCCACUUCGGUGGAGGUGUUAUAGCCCAGGGUGUAAUACGGCCAGCCGGGACUGAGGUCCGCGCUUCGGCUAGGAUGCUGG